UUUUAGUUAUGUUUAUUUAACACAACAACAUAUAAAUUAUUUAUUAAAAGUAACACAUUAACUCCUGCCGUCACCUCAUUGCUAUUCAAUAGAAACAUAAUGAAUGCUCAUUGCCAAAAGGGUAAAGUGCUAUAAAUAUGAGCUUGUUAUAGUUCCCAUGCAUGCAUUAUGAGAAAUAUACAGCAAUAUUAUAUUACAGGUCAGGUCACUGACUGCUUAUCCUAACAAUAAACCAAGAUAUACUUAUAUUGAAUUAUCUGGUGUUUAC
Pelobates cultripes (western spadefoot toad) is the source of this 268-nucleotide non-coding RNA. The record is from the annotation of a GenBank genome assembly. Lineage: Eukaryota; Metazoa; Chordata; Amphibia; Anura; Pelobatidae.